UUUGUUUUUUUUUAAUUUGACCCCGUGUUUUUACACCUAUUUCAUUUCAGUCCUGCAUGAAACGGUGCGCUCUAAUGGACUGGGGAUAAUUUCCCAUAUAGUCCUCGCGUUUCUGCAGCGCGUUACAAUUUGCCUCUCUUUUAGUUUUUUUUUCUUUUAUUUCAAUUUGACCGUUUAACUUUUUUUUUGUUCCAUUUUAGUCCUGUGAAGUGCUGCGUUUUGGGAGGUGGGGAUAUUUUCCCCUUUAGUCCUUCCUUGUUAUUCGCACACUCAAUUCGGUCCUUUCCUUUUAAAUUAUUUACAGAUCUACCCCCCGAAUUUCUGUUUCAAAAC
This 333-nucleotide long non-coding RNA is filed under the name Gossypium raimondii (Peruvian cotton). Its description in RNAcentral is "long non-coding RNA (GRAI_LNC011019)". Lineage: Eukaryota; Viridiplantae; Streptophyta; Magnoliopsida; Malvales; Malvaceae. The record is from RNAcentral.